Molecule: long non-coding RNA, 156 nt
Filed under: Monodelphis domestica (gray short-tailed opossum)
Lineage: Eukaryota; Metazoa; Chordata; Mammalia; Didelphimorphia; Didelphidae
Description: lncRNA (ENSMODG00000030894.2)
Source: RNAcentral
AAAGCUGCAAAUCUGGGAUUUGAACCCAGGUGUCUGUAUUUAUACAGAAGUGGCAUGAAACAGUUGACUUUCAGGAAAUGGCCCAAGCAUUGACGCUUAUCAAAUUCAGGAAAGAGGGUAGCACUUUAUGAAUCAUGAAGAUGAUCUGGUCACUUA